Alligator mississippiensis (American alligator) is the source of this 74-nucleotide small nucleolar RNA. NCBI's taxonomy places the organism in Eukaryota, Metazoa, Chordata, Crocodylia, Alligatoridae. The record is from Rfam.
UAAUGAUGGAACAAAACCUAAAUUAGCUGGAAUUACUGGCAGAUUGGUGGUGGUGAGAGGUUUUUUUCCUGAAU